Molecule: microRNA precursor, 102 nt
Filed under: Helianthus annuus (common sunflower)
Lineage: Eukaryota; Viridiplantae; Streptophyta; Magnoliopsida; Asterales; Asteraceae
Source: RNAcentral
AAUGUCCGGGUGCAGCCAAGGAUGACUUGCCGCCGGCCAACCGUUGGACCCCAUGCAUGGAUCAUCCGUCGGCAAGUUGUCCUUGGCUACAUUCUUCAUUAU